GGCAUUGGGUUUUAGAGAGAAGAGAAGAGAGAAGGGUUCUCUCAUAUUCUAGUCUUUCUUCUUUCUCCUAUUUCUUCUUCUUUCUUGAAAAAAUCUUAGAGAUUGAAGAAGAUCCAAACCAACUAUUAAGAAGUGAUCUCUGAAAGAGAGCUAGCACUCUGAAGAGAUCAAACCUUCGAUCAGAUCAGACCUCGUGUGGAUAUUCAUAGAGAUUGGACACGUGUACGGCUAUACUAGAAUCUGAGACAUCCUCAAAUCCGGAUCUAAAGAAAUUCAGUGAUUAAGGUAU
This 289-nucleotide long non-coding RNA is filed under the name Elaeis guineensis (African oil palm). RNAcentral describes it as "long non-coding RNA (EGUI_LNC001358)". The record is from RNAcentral. Lineage: Eukaryota; Viridiplantae; Streptophyta; Magnoliopsida; Arecales; Arecaceae.